CCCCUCUCAGGGUCACACUUGGAGAGUUUCCAGUACUCUAUUAGUCAUGGCUAUGGGAGAGAGAGUCAAGCAGAGUCUUACCCAUUCCAUUCCUAGCUUGGGCAGUGGCUAGCGAGUGGAAGGCAAUCUGCUACAAGU
Small nucleolar RNA from Tachyglossus aculeatus (Australian echidna), 138 nucleotides. Lineage: Eukaryota; Metazoa; Chordata; Mammalia; Monotremata; Tachyglossidae. The record is from RefSeq and is a predicted model, not a curated record.